RNAcentral lists this ribosomal RNA (244 nucleotides) under uncultured bacterium. Its description in RNAcentral is "partial small subunit ribosomal RNA". It matches the Rfam family "Bacterial small subunit ribosomal RNA", at positions 26 to 285 of the family's 1533-position model. The record is from RNAcentral.
AGAAUCAACGCUGGCGGCGUGCCUAACACAUGCAAGUCGCACGAGAAAGUGGAGCAAUCCACGAGUAAAGUGGCGCACGGGUGAGUAACACGUGAAUGAUCUACCUCCGAGUGGGGAAUAACUGAGAGAAAUCUUAGCUAAUACUGCAUAACACUUACGAGUCAAAGCAGCAAUGCGCUUGGAGAGGAGUUCGCGGCCGAUUAGCUAGUUGGCGGGUAAUGGCCCACCAAGGCGAUGAUCGGUA